RNAcentral lists this ribosomal RNA (459 nucleotides) under uncultured bacterium. RNAcentral's name for it is "bacterial SSU rRNA". It matches the Rfam family "Bacterial small subunit ribosomal RNA", at positions 28 to 465 of the family's 1533-position model. The record is from RNAcentral.
GACGAACGCUGGCGGCGUGCCUAAUACAUGCAAGUAGAACGCACAGGAUACACCGUAGUUUACUACACCGUAUUCUGUGAGUUGCGAACGGGUGAGUAACGCGUAGGUAACCUGCCUGGUAGCGGGGGAUAACUAUUGGAAACGAUAGCUAAUACCGCAUAAGAACAUUUACUGCAUGGUGGAUGUUUAAAAGGUGCAAAUGCAUCACUACCAGAUGGACCUGCGUUGUAUUAGCUAGUAGGUGAGGUAACGGCUCACCUAGGCGACGAUACAUAGCCGACCUGAGAGGGUGAUCGGCCACACUGGGACUGAGACACGGCCCAGACUCCUACGGGAGGCAGCAGUAGGGAAUCUUCGGCAAUGGGGGGAACCCUGACCGAGCAACGCCGCGUGAGUGAAGAAGGUUUUCGGAUCGUAAAGCUCUGUUGUUAAGGAAGAACGAGUGUGAGAAUGGAAAGU